UGGGGAAUUUUGCACAAUGGGGGAAACCCUGAUGCAGCGACGCCGCGUGAUUUAGAAGGCCUUCGGGUUGUAAAAAUCUUUUGUAUAGGAAGAAAAUGACAGUACUAUACGAAUAAGGACCGGCUAAUUACGUGCCAGCAGCCGCGGUAAUACGUAAGGUCCGAGCGUUGUCCGGAAUCAUUGGGCGUAAAGGGUACGUAGGCGGGUAAGCAAGUUAGAAGUGAAAUCCUAUAGCUCAACUAUAGUAAGCUUUUAAAACUGCUCAUCUUGAGGUAUGGAAGGGAAAGUGGAAUUCCUAGUGUAGCGGUGAAAUGCGCAGAUAUUAGGAGGAAUACCGGUGGCGAAGGCGACUUUCUGGCCAUAACCUGACGCUGAGGUACGAAAGCGUGGGGAGCAAACAGG
This 402-nucleotide ribosomal RNA is filed under the name Bacteroidota bacterium. RNAcentral describes it as "Bacteroidetes bacterium partial 16S ribosomal RNA". It matches the Rfam family "Bacterial small subunit ribosomal RNA", at positions 355 to 776 of the family's 1533-position model. Lineage: Bacteria; Pseudomonadati; Bacteroidota. The record is from RNAcentral.